Molecule: long non-coding RNA, 230 nt
Filed under: Capsicum annuum
Lineage: Eukaryota; Viridiplantae; Streptophyta; Magnoliopsida; Solanales; Solanaceae
Description: long non-coding RNA (CANN_LNC000394)
Source: RNAcentral
UUUGUGGCCUUUGCCCGAAAAAUGGAGGAUAAUAAUGAUGCCUUGAGAAGAGACUUGAAGGGUGGGUUUGAUAUUAUAAAAGGUGAUUUAGGAUCCAUGAGGCGUGACAUAAUUAGAAUUAAAGCGGGGGUUGAUAGACUAUGUCCACCAAAACCUCCACAAAAUUCACACCACCAAUUCCAAACCCAUCAUCAACCAAAUCCAAUGCCUCCUCUCCACAAGUUAGAAUC